RNAcentral lists this small RNA (16 nucleotides) under Arabidopsis thaliana (thale cress). RNAcentral describes it as "ATSL050760". The record is from RNAcentral. Lineage: Eukaryota; Viridiplantae; Streptophyta; Magnoliopsida; Brassicales; Brassicaceae.
UUUUUUUUUGCCUUUU